CUACGCACUCCUACGGGAGGCAGCAGUGGGGAAUAUUGCACAAUGGGCGCAAGCCUGAUGCAGCCAUGCCGCGUGUAUGAAGAAGGCCUUCGGGUUGUAAAGUACUUUCAGCAGUGAGGUAAGGUGGGUAUGUUAAUAGCAUAUUCAUUUGACGUUAGCUGCAGAAGAAGCACCGGCUAACUCCGUGCCAGCAGCCGCGGUAAUACGGAGGGUGCGAGCGUUAAUCGGAAUUACUGGGCGUAAAGCGCAUGCAGGUGGUUUGUUAAGUCAGAUGUGAAAGCCCGGGGCUCAACCUCGGAAUUGCAUUUGAAACUGGCAAACUAGAGUACUGUAGAGGGGGUAGAAUUUCAGGUGUAGCGGUGAAAUGCGUAGAGAUCUGAAGGAAUACCGGUGGCGAAGGCGGCCCCCUGGACAGAUACUGACACUCAGAUGCGAAAGCGUGGGGAGCAAACAGGAUUAGAUACCCUGGUAG
This 472-nucleotide ribosomal RNA is filed under the name uncultured bacterium. RNAcentral describes it as "bacterial SSU rRNA". It matches the Rfam family "Bacterial small subunit ribosomal RNA", at positions 329 to 793 of the family's 1533-position model. The record is from RNAcentral.